This 609-nucleotide ribosomal RNA is filed under the name Malassezia furfur. RNAcentral describes it as "LSU rRNA". It matches the Rfam family "Eukaryotic large subunit ribosomal RNA", at positions 108 to 719 of the family's 3401-position model. Lineage: Eukaryota; Fungi; Basidiomycota; Malasseziomycetes; Malasseziales; Malasseziaceae. The record is from RNAcentral.
CUCAGAUUUGAGAGCUGGCACCUACAUGUAUCCGCGUUGUAACCUCGAGACACGUUUUCCGCGCGGCGCUAUGGACAAGUUCCUUGGAACAGGACAUCGUAGAGGGUGAAAAUCCCGUACUUGCCAUGGAUGUACCGUGCUUUGCGAUACGUGCUCUAAGAGUCGAGUUGUUUGGGAUUGCAGCUCAAAAUGGGUGGUAGACUCCAUCUAAAGCUAAAUAUCGGGGAGAGACCGAUAGCGAACAAGUACCGUGAGGGAAAGAUGAAAAGCACUUUGGAAAGAGAGUUAAAAGUACGUGAAAUUGUCGAAAGGGAAGCGCUUGAAGUCAGCCAUGCCGCUCAGGACUCAGCCUGGCUUUUGCUUGGUGUAUUUCCUGGGUAGCAAGUCAGCAUUGGUUUGGAUCGUCGGAAAAGCAUAGUCGGAAUGUGGCGCCCUCGGGCGUGUUAUAGCCUUCUAUUGGAUACGACGAUCUAGACCAAGGAACGCAGCGCGCCUUAUGGCGGGUCUUCGGACACCUUCGCGCUUAGGAUGCUGGCGUAAUGGCUUUAAGUGGCCCGUCUUGAAACACGGACCACUUAAAGCGAUUACGCCAGCGUCCUAAGCGCGAAG